GCCGAGCUCAGUCACGCGAGCUUGUAACCUGAGUGGGGGCUUUAAGGUGGUGUGGACGCUGUUGCAGCGUUGUGGGCCUGGUUUGGAUGUGCAAUUGCUGGCCCGCCGUUCCAAGUUGAGUAGUGGACUGCUGGGGGCCUAUGCGAAAGCUGGGCCUCACGGGCCAUGAUGUGGCAGGCAAAGCGUGAGGCUGGUUUCACAGAGCAGCGACAACUGCCCGCUUCCAACGGUGGAAGGAUAACGGGCUGCUGCACAUCUGGGCCGGUUGGGCCUCACAGCCUGCUCCAUCGAACCACCAUUUUU
Molecule: signal recognition particle RNA, 303 nt
Filed under: Triticum aestivum (bread wheat)
Lineage: Eukaryota; Viridiplantae; Streptophyta; Magnoliopsida; Poales; Poaceae
Description: SRP RNA Plant_SRP
Rfam family: Plant signal recognition particle RNA
Source: Rfam by way of RNAcentral